Molecule: long non-coding RNA, 256 nt
Filed under: Mytilus galloprovincialis (Mediterranean mussel)
Lineage: Eukaryota; Metazoa; Mollusca; Bivalvia; Mytilida; Mytilidae
Source: RNAcentral
UUAUUUCCCUUAACCUAGGUCUACCUCCUUAAAUAGCACCUAAAUUGAUCUUGCACCCUGUGAGGUAAAAACUAACACUUGUAUAUAUGCCAGAGAUGGAGUAUGCACAAUAUACAUAUAUGUUCAGCUGUAAAAUUAUAGGCAAGUAGGUCAACAGAAAACACACAAGUUUGUAUGAUCUUAGCAUCCAUAUACUAAGUCUAAGCUAAGCUGAGCAAGAAAAUUUGUACAACAAAUGAAGUAUGUUUAAAGCUUA